Molecule: non-coding RNA, 71 nt
Organism: Wyeomyia smithii (pitcher-plant mosquito)
Lineage: Eukaryota; Metazoa; Arthropoda; Insecta; Diptera; Culicidae
Source: the annotation of a RefSeq genome assembly
UCUGCGGUGGUGUAACGGGAACACAUCCGACCGGAGAUUGGAAGUUGUGGGUUCGAGUCCCACCUGCUGAA